GGGGAGAAUUCAUCUUAAGAAUAUUAUAAACAAGGUCAAGAACCCUUACCGAAAGAAUGAAAAGCAGGUGGUCGAUGGAUUUGGAAGAAAUACAGACCAAAAAAUGUAAAGAUACAGGCAAAAUGAAACAAUCUGUAUACAUUUGUAUUCUAACCACUGGGUUCCUGCACAGGCCUAUUAACUACCCAGGCAACCAGCUCUGAUGCACCAGAGUCUUCAAUUCAGAGUUUGAUUUUUUUUUUCCAUAUGUUCAAACACAUUAAGUACUGAGGUUGCGUUUGAUUCUCCAGGAGGAUUUUAACACUUUUGUUUCCGGAAUCACCCCUAACCGUAUAUGAUCGAGGAUUACGAUCAUCUAGACAUCCGUGUGUCCGUUUGCUUGGCCACUGACUUUUGUUUCUGGACCCAACAGGCGUCAUCUGCAGCUGGGGCGACAAUGCUGAGGAAACAAACCCAACAGGCAGGUCCAACGUAACUUCAAGCAGCUUCACUUGAUACCGUAAGAACGUAAACAUAGUCUCAAAGCAUGUGCUAAGUUUUAGGAAACUAAAAA
Nanorana parkeri is the source of this 553-nucleotide long non-coding RNA. RefSeq lists it as uncharacterized. Lineage: Eukaryota; Metazoa; Chordata; Amphibia; Anura; Dicroglossidae. The record is from RefSeq and is a predicted model, not a curated record. The transcript is spliced from 3 exons.